AAGUCCCGUAACGAGCGCAACCCUCGCUGCGUGUUACAAGUGUCACGCAGGACCGCCGGUAUUAAGCCGGAGGAAGGUGGGGAUGACGUCAAGUCAGCAUGGCCUUUAUGCCUGGGGCUACACACACGCUACAAUGGGCAGUACAAUGGGUUGCUAAGCCGCGAGGUGGAGCCAAUCCCCCAAAACUGUCCUCAGUUCAGAUUGCAGGCUGCAACUCGCCUGCAUGAAGCCGGAGUUGCUAGUAAACGCGCGUCAGCUAUAGUGCGUUGAAUACGUUCUCGGGCCUUGUACACACCGCCCGU
This 302-nucleotide ribosomal RNA is filed under the name uncultured soil bacterium. Its description in RNAcentral is "bacterial SSU rRNA". It matches the Rfam family "Bacterial small subunit ribosomal RNA", at positions 1082 to 1397 of the family's 1533-position model. The record is from RNAcentral.